AUUGAACGCUGGCGGCAUGCUUUACACAUGCAAGUCGAACGGUAACAGGCCUUCGGGUGCUGACGAGUGGCGCACGGGUGAGUAAUGCAUCGGAACGUGCCCAGAGGUGGGGGAUAACGCAGCGAAAGCUGUGCUAAUACCGCAUGUGAUCUGAGGAUGAAAGCGGGGGACCAAGCAGCAAUGUUUGGCCUCGCGCCUCUGGAGCGGCCGAUGUCAGAUUAGGUAGUUGGUGGGGUAAAGGCCUACCAAGCCGACGAUCUGUAGCUGGUCUGAGAGGACGACCGGCCACACUGGAACUGAGACACGGCCCAGACUCCUACGGGAGGCAGCAGUGGGGAAUUUUGGACAAUGGGCGCAAGCCUGAUCCAGCAAUGCCGCGUGCGGGAAGAAGGCCUUCGGGUUGUAAACCGCUUUUGUACGGAACGAAAAGGCUCUGGCUAAUACCUGGGGCUGAUGACGGUACCGUAAGAAUAAGCACCGGCUAACUACGUG
RNAcentral lists this ribosomal RNA (492 nucleotides) under uncultured bacterium. RNAcentral describes it as "partial 16S ribosomal RNA". It matches the Rfam family "Bacterial small subunit ribosomal RNA", at positions 30 to 507 of the family's 1533-position model. The record is from RNAcentral.